UAGUUUUGGGUUGGGGUGACCGCGGAGAAAAACCAAACCUCCACGACGAACGGAACUAACUCCUAAUCUAAGAGCCACUACUCUAAGAAUUAAUAUAUUAACAUAAAAUGAUCCGAUAAUCGAUCAACGAACCAAGUUACCCUGGGGAUAACAGCGCAAUCCAUUUCAAGAGCCCCUAUCGACAAAUGGGUUUACGACCUCGAUGUUGGAUCAGGGUAUCCCAGUGGUGCAGCCGCUACUAAAGGUUUGUUUGUUCAACAAUUAAAACCCUACGUGAUCU
This 280-nucleotide ribosomal RNA is filed under the name Nanorana sp. B SH-2019. RNAcentral describes it as "partial large subunit ribosomal RNA". It matches the Rfam family "Bacterial large subunit ribosomal RNA", at positions 2266 to 2606 of the family's 2925-position model. Lineage: Eukaryota; Metazoa; Chordata; Amphibia; Anura; Dicroglossidae. The record is from RNAcentral.